This 301-nucleotide ribosomal RNA is filed under the name uncultured bacterium. RNAcentral's name for it is "partial 16S ribosomal RNA". It matches the Rfam family "Bacterial small subunit ribosomal RNA", at positions 509 to 808 of the family's 1533-position model. The record is from RNAcentral.
CAGCCGCCGCGGGAAUACGGAGGGUGCAAGCGUUAAUCGGAAUUACUGGGCGUAAAGCGCACGCAGGCGGUCUGACAAGUCAGAUGUGAAAUCCCCGGGCUUAACCUGGGAACUGCAUUUGAAACUGUCAGGCUGGAGUCUUGUAGAGGGGGGUGGAAUUCCAGGUGUAGCGGUGAAAUGCGUAGAGAUCUGGAGGAAUACCGGUGGCGAAGGCGGCCCCCUGGACAAAGACUGACGCUCAGGUGCGAAAGCGUGGGGAGCAAACAGGAUUAGAUACCCCCUAGUCCCUGUCUCUUAUACA